This 241-nucleotide ribosomal RNA is filed under the name uncultured bacterium. Its description in RNAcentral is "partial 16S ribosomal RNA". It matches the Rfam family "Bacterial small subunit ribosomal RNA", at positions 98 to 339 of the family's 1533-position model. The record is from RNAcentral.
GCGAACGGGUGAGUAAUACAUAGGUAACUUGCCCCUAAGCUUGGGAUAACAUUCCGAAAGGAAUGCUAAUACCGAAUAAUCUCUUUUUAACAUAAGUUAAUUAGAGCAAAGAUUUAUCGCUUAGGGAUAGGCCUAUGCCUGAUUAGUUUGUUGGUGGGGUAAUGGCCUACCAAGACUACGAUCAGUAGCUGGUCUGAGAGGACGAACAGCCACAUUGGGACUGAGAUACGGCCCAGACUCC